RNAcentral lists this ribosomal RNA (537 nucleotides) under uncultured Acidobacteriota bacterium. RNAcentral describes it as "bacterial SSU rRNA". It matches the Rfam family "Bacterial small subunit ribosomal RNA", at positions 13 to 532 of the family's 1533-position model. Lineage: Bacteria; Pseudomonadati; Acidobacteriota. The record is from RNAcentral.
UUGAUCCUGGCUCAGAAUCAACGCUGGCGGCGUGCCUAACACAUGCAAGUCGAACGCGAAAGGGGCUUCGGCCCUGAGUAGAGUGGCGAACGGGUGAGUUACACGUGGGUGAUCUACCUCUGAGUGGGGGAUAACCUUCCGAAAGGAGGUCUAAUACCGCAUGACGUUCUGGGUUUGAAGACCUGGAAACCAAAGUCGGUGACCGCAAGGCCUGACGCUUGGAGAGGAGCCCGCGUCUGAUUAGCUAGUUGGCGGGGUAACGGCCCACCAAGGCAACGAUCAGUAGCCGGCCUGAGAGGUCGGACGGCCACACUGGGACUGAGACACGGCCCAGACUCCUACGGGAGGCUGCAGUGGGGAAUUGUUCGCAAUGGGCGCAAGCCUGACGACGCAACGCCGUGUGGAGGAUGAAGGUCUUCGGAUUGUAAACUCCUGUUGAUCGGGAAGAAUGGGCUCCGGAUUAAUACACUGGAGCAGUGACGGUACCGAUUGAGGAAGCUACGGCUAACUCUGUGCCAGCAGCCGCGGUAAUAAGGU